CCUACGGGUGGCAGCAGUGGGGAAUAUUGCACAAUGGGGGAAACCCUGAUGCAGCGACGCCGCGUGAGCGAUGAAGUAUUUCGGUAUGUAAAGCUCUAUCAGCAGGGAAGAAAAUGACGGUACCUGACUAAGAAGCCCCGGCCAACUACGUGCCAGCAGCCGCGGUAAUACGGAGGGGGCGAGCGUUAUCCGGAUUUACUGGGUGUAAAGGGAGCGUAGACGGCGGUGAAAGCCAGGUGUGAAAGCCCGGGGCUCAACCCUGGGACUGCAUUUGGAACUGUGCUGCUUGAGUGUCGGGGAGGCAGGCGGAAUUCCUAGUGUAGCGGUGAAAUGCGUAGAUAUUAGGAAGAACACCAGUGGCGAAGGCGGCCUGCUGGACGAUGACUGACGUUGAGGCUCGAAAGCGUGGGGAGCAAACAGGAUUAGAUACCCUUGUAGUC
RNAcentral lists this ribosomal RNA (440 nucleotides) under uncultured bacterium. RNAcentral describes it as "partial 16S ribosomal RNA". It matches the Rfam family "Bacterial small subunit ribosomal RNA", at positions 338 to 795 of the family's 1533-position model. The record is from RNAcentral.